RNAcentral lists this ribosomal RNA (497 nucleotides) under uncultured bacterium. RNAcentral describes it as "partial 16S ribosomal RNA". It matches the Rfam family "Bacterial small subunit ribosomal RNA", at positions 28 to 507 of the family's 1533-position model. The record is from RNAcentral.
GACGAACGCUGGCGGCGUGCCUAAUACAUGCAAGUUGAGCGCUGAAGGUUGGUACUUGUACCGACUGGAUGAGCAGCGCACGGGUGAGUAACGCGUGGGGAAUCUGCCUUUGAGCGGGGGACAACAUUUGGAAACGAAUGCUAAUACCGCGUAAAAACUUUAAACACAAGUUUUAAGUUUGAAAGAUGCAAUUGCAUCACUCAAAGAUGAUCCCGCGUUGUAUUAGCUAGUUGGUGAGGUAAAGGCGCACCAAGGCGAUGAUACAUAGCCGACCUGAGAGGGUGGUCGGCCAGAUUGGGACUGAGACACGGCCCAAACGCCUACGGGAGGCAGCAGUAGGGAAUCUUCGGCAAUGGACGAAAGUCUGACCGAGCAACGCCGCGUGAGUGAAGAAGGUUGUCGGAUCGUAAAACUCUGUUGGUAGAGAAGAACGUUGGUGAGAGUGGAAAGCUCAGCAAGUGACGGUAACUACCCAGAAAGGGACGGCUAACUACGUG